UGGGGAAUAUUGGACAAUGGGGGGAACCCUGAUCCAGCCAUGCCGCGUGUGUGAAGAAGGCCUUAUGGUUGUAAAGCACUUUAAGCGAGGAGGAGGGUACUGGUAUUAAUACUACCAGGUACUGGACGUUACUCGCAGAAUAAGCACCGGCCAACUCUGUGCCAGCAGCCGCGGUAAUACAGAGGGUGCGAGCGUUAAUCGGAUUUACUGGGCGUAAAGCGUGCGUAGGCGGCUAAUUGAGUCGGAUGUGAAAUCCCCGAGCUUAACUUGGAAAUUGCAUUCGAUACUGGUUAGAUAGAGUGUGGGAGAGGAUGGUAGAAUUCCAGGUGUAGCGGUGAAAUGCGUAGAGAUCUGGAGGAAUACCGAUGGCGAAGGCAGCCAUCUGGCCUAACACUGACGCUGAGGUACGAAAGCAUGGGGAGCAAACAGG
Molecule: ribosomal RNA, 430 nt
Filed under: Pseudomonadota bacterium
Lineage: Bacteria; Pseudomonadati; Pseudomonadota
Description: Proteobacteria bacterium partial 16S ribosomal RNA
Rfam family: Bacterial small subunit ribosomal RNA
Source: RNAcentral